GCCUCGAUAGUCUAGUGGUUUAGGAUUCACCCCUGUCACGGGUGAGACUCGGGUUCAAGUCCCGGUCGAGGCG
This 73-nucleotide transfer RNA is filed under the name Candidatus Iainarchaeum sp. RNAcentral describes it as "tRNA-Asp". It matches the Rfam family "tRNA". Rfam says of the family: Transfer RNA (tRNA) molecules are approximately 80 nucleotides in length. Their secondary structure includes four short double-helical elements and three loops (D, anti-codon, and T loops). Lineage: Archaea; Nanobdellati; Candidatus Iainarchaeota; Candidatus Iainarchaeia; Candidatus Iainarchaeales; Candidatus Iainarchaeaceae. The record is from RNAcentral.